RNAcentral lists this ribosomal RNA (139 nucleotides) under uncultured eukaryote. RNAcentral's name for it is "partial 18S ribosomal RNA". It matches the Rfam family "Eukaryotic small subunit ribosomal RNA", at positions 1299 to 1458 of the family's 1831-position model. The record is from RNAcentral.
UGGUGGAGUGAUUUGUCUGGUUAAUUCCGAUAACGAACGAGACCUUAACCUGCUAACUAGUGUUGCUAAUUUUAUUAUUGGUACAACUUCUUAGAGGGACUGAGUACAAUAUAGUACUUGGAAGUUUGAGGCAAUAACA